This 90-nucleotide transfer RNA is filed under the name Tsukamurella sp. PLM1. Its description in RNAcentral is "tRNA-Thr". The record is from RNAcentral. Lineage: Bacteria; Bacillati; Actinomycetota; Actinomycetes; Mycobacteriales; Tsukamurellaceae.
CGACGGUGGCGGUCCUGGUGUGGCGGCGGCCGGUGGCCGCCGGGACUGAUCGUCAGGCCGCGACGGGUUCGAGAGUCCCGCGUCGCCGGC